AGUGGGGAAUUUUGCGCAAUGGGGGAAACCCUGACGCAGCAACGCCGCGUGGAGGAUGAAGUCCUUCGGGACGUAAACUCCUUUCGAUCGGGACGAUUAUGACGGUACCGGAAGAAGAAGCCCCGGCUAACUUCGUGCCAGCAGCCGCGGUAAUACGAGGGGGGCGAGCGUUGUUCGGAAUUAUUGGGCGUAAAGGGUGCGUAGGCGGUUUGGUAAGUCUUAUGUGAAAUCUAUGGGCUCAACUCAUAGACUGCAUGAGAAACUGCCGGGCUUGAGUAUGGGAGAGGUGAGUGGAAUUCCUGGU
This 304-nucleotide ribosomal RNA is filed under the name uncultured temperate forest soil bacterium C6057s. Its description in RNAcentral is "bacterial SSU rRNA". It matches the Rfam family "Bacterial small subunit ribosomal RNA", at positions 353 to 674 of the family's 1533-position model. The record is from RNAcentral. Lineage: Bacteria; Pseudomonadati; Acidobacteriota.